CCCCACCUUUCCCGGCUGAAUCCCCUGCACACAGGCUUCUUUCUGUUUGGGCAUCUCUUGGGAGGACCCCAAGUGACACCAUCAUGUCCCAAAUACUUGUCACCAAAUGGUAAAGAUCCAAACAGCUUUUUCAGGGGAAUUAAGACUAGUCUGGGCACUCAGGGCUCCUCUGGCUCCUGGAAAAAGCCUCAUCUACAAAUCCACCGUGGACCGAGUCAAGAAAGACACAGCACAGGCACAACAGACAGGUCAAGGGCAGGACCAGGUGGAGGUGAUUGAAUCAUGGAGGUGGUUUCCCCCCUGCUGUUCUUGUGAUGAGGUGCCUGCUUGCCAUGAUUAUGUUUCCUGAGGCCUCCCCAGCCAUGUGGAACUGUGAGUUCAUUAAAC
Pan troglodytes (chimpanzee) is the source of this 387-nucleotide long non-coding RNA. RefSeq lists it as uncharacterized. The transcript has 3 exons. Lineage: Eukaryota; Metazoa; Chordata; Mammalia; Primates; Hominidae. The record is from RefSeq and is a predicted model, not a curated record.